CAGUCCCUGGGGCUGGGACCUGGAAGUGUGCAUCUCCCUUCCCCACUCCUCUUCACUUUCUGCUUCUUGGCCCAUGACAUGAACAGCCUUCCUCAGUCUGGACCCUCCUGCCAUGCUGUUUCUUGUUUUGAGCCUGCUGAACAUGGACUGAAACUCCUGAACUGUGAGCCAAAAGAAAUCUCUCGCUGACUUUCAGUUGCAAGUGUUGGGUGUUUUGUCGCAGCAAGAAGGAAAGCGACUGAGACAGCAUGUACACAUACACGUACAAUAUGUAAGGCAUAUGCAGAUGGCACACUGGUCCAUCAUGGUGGACCUGUGAGAUUCAUUAUUAGUCACUUUCCUCCAUGGAUGACAGUAUCUUACCUGGCCUCCUAUCUGGAUGACCACCUCUGUGGUAGAUGCUUUGGAUUAAAGAGGCAAUGAAAUCACAGAAUGAGAGCAUCUCCUCAUGAAGGCAAGUGCUCUGUAUAAAAAAUGAAUUUGUUUUCAUAAGCAUUUUAGAGACAUGAUAAUGUUUUCGG
RNAcentral lists this long non-coding RNA (521 nucleotides) under Chinchilla lanigera (long-tailed chinchilla). RNAcentral's name for it is "lncRNA (ENSCLAG00000026787.1)". Lineage: Eukaryota; Metazoa; Chordata; Mammalia; Rodentia; Chinchillidae. The record is from RNAcentral.